UACGUAGGGGGCGAGCGUUGUCCGGAAUUAUUGGGCGUAAAGGGCUCGUAGGCGGUUUGUCGCGUCGGGGGUGAAAUCCACUGGCUUAACUGGUGGCUUGCUUUCGAUACGGGCAGACUGGAGGUAUGCAGGGGAGAACGGAAUUCCUGGUGUAGCGGUGAAAUGCGCAGAUAUCAGGAGGAACACCGGUGGCGAAGGCGGUUCUCUGGGCAUGUCCUGACGCUGAGGAGCGAAAGUGUGGGGAGCGAACAGG
Molecule: ribosomal RNA, 253 nt
Filed under: uncultured bacterium
Lineage: Bacteria
Description: partial 16S ribosomal RNA
Rfam family: Bacterial small subunit ribosomal RNA
Source: RNAcentral